This 492-nucleotide ribosomal RNA is filed under the name uncultured bacterium. RNAcentral describes it as "partial 16S ribosomal RNA". It matches the Rfam family "Bacterial small subunit ribosomal RNA", at positions 29 to 507 of the family's 1533-position model. The record is from RNAcentral.
AGUGAACGCUGGCGGUAGGCCUAACACAUGCAAGUCGAACGGCAGCACAGUAUGAGCUUGCUCUUACGGGUGGCGAGUGGCGGACGGGUGAGGAAUACAUCGGAAUCUACUUUUUCGUGGGGGAUAACGUAGGGAAACUUACGCUAAUACCGCAUACGACCUACGGGUGAAAGCAGGGGAUCUUCGGACCUUGCGCGAUUGAAUGAGCCGAUGUCGGAUUAGCUAGUUGGCGGGGUAAAGGCCCACCAAGGCGACGAUCCGUAGCUGGUCUGAGAGGAUGAUCAGCCACACUGGAACUGAGACACGGACCAGACUCCUACGGGAGGCAGCAGUGGGGAAUAUUGGACAAUGGGCGCAAGCCUGAUCCAGCCAUACCGCGUGGGUGAAGAAGGCCUUCGGGUUGUAAAGCCCUUUUGUUGGGAAAGAAAAGCAGCAGGUUAAUACCCCGCUGUUCUGACGGUACCCAAAGAAUAAGCACCGGCUAACUUCGUG